AAGAGUAUAUGCAGCAAAAGGCUUUAGCAAAGAGCUAAGAUAAACUACCUGAUUAUGAGGAUGUUGAAAGUCUUGGACAUGAUGAAGAUGAAGAUGAUGUUAGGGUAAUUCUUGGAGGCUCAAAGGGAAGUAGUAAGGUUCAAAAGAAGCCAAGGACAAAGAGUCCAAUAGAUGUCUAUUUUGUCAAAAGUGUUGAAAAGGCGGUGCAAGAUAAAAAAAAAUUUCAAAGUUGAAGCAAACCACUAUUAAUGAGG
Molecule: unclassified non-coding RNA, 254 nt
Filed under: Hevea brasiliensis (rubber tree)
Lineage: Eukaryota; Viridiplantae; Streptophyta; Magnoliopsida; Malpighiales; Euphorbiaceae
Source: RNAcentral